RNAcentral lists this ribosomal RNA (465 nucleotides) under uncultured bacterium. RNAcentral describes it as "partial 16S ribosomal RNA". It matches the Rfam family "Bacterial small subunit ribosomal RNA", at positions 28 to 507 of the family's 1533-position model. The record is from RNAcentral.
GACGAACGCUGGCGGCGUGCUUAACACAUGCAAGUCGAACGGAAAGGCCCUGCUUGCAGGGUACUCGAGUGGCGAACGGGUGAGUAACACGUGGGUGAUCUGCCCUGCACUUCGGGAUAAGCCUGGGAAACUGGGUCUACUACCGGAGAGGAGCCAUUUUUAGUGUGAUGGUUGGAAAGUUUUUUCGGUGUAGGAUGAGCUCGCGGCCUAUCAGCUUGGUGGUGGGGUAAUGGCCUACCAAGGCGGCGACGGGUAGCCGGCCUGAGAGGGUGGACGGCCACAUUGGGACUGGGAUACGGCCCAGACUCCUACGGGAGGCAGCAGUGGGGAAUAUUGCACAAUGGGCGCAAGCCUGAUGCAGCGACGCCGCGUGGGGGAUGACGGCCUUCGGGUUGUAAACUCCUUUCGCUAGGGACGAAGCUUUUUGUGACGGUACCUAGACAAGAAGCACCGGCUAACUACGUG